This is a long non-coding RNA of Callorhinus ursinus (northern fur seal), 1025 nucleotides long. RefSeq lists it as uncharacterized. Lineage: Eukaryota; Metazoa; Chordata; Mammalia; Carnivora; Otariidae. The record is from RefSeq and is a predicted model, not a curated record.
GGAAGAAGCGCGUGGGGCGGGGCGCAAAGCAUUGUGGGCUUUGGGCGGGUUCCGUGGUUCCCGGGCACUGCCCGCGGACCCGGAAGGAGCUGGCGACCCCGCCUCUGCCCCCCACCCACAGCACUGUUCCGCGUCCACUAUAGGCGCUCGGUUCCUGGGGGCAACGAGACGGACCCGCCGUGGUUCAGGCCUCUGGGGACUCGAAUCCCAAGCGGAGCCUGGCGAGAGCACGUCCGCUCAGAGGGGACCGUGCGCCUAGCAGGUGCGGGGCGUGCUCCAAGCGCUGGAAAAAGCACGCACGCGUGCCCUCGGCAGUGACCCUCCUCAGAGCUCCUGACCUGGUGCUGACCUCUCUCCUGACCUCCAGGCCCCCUUUUGGACGUCUGAGGCACAGCUCCAUGGGUAUGUACAGAACCCUGCCUCCCCUCACUGCCUGCCUUCUCUGGCUCUGUUAAGGCCACUCCAUGCUUCGAGGCUCAGACCUUGAAGCCACCCUGCCUUCUCUCAUUCCCCACACCCAGUCCUGGAGCAAAUCCCGUUGGCUGUCCCUUAAAAGUAUCCCUGGGGGAAGCUCAGUCAGUUGGGCGUCUGUGUCGCCUUCCCCCCAUCCUGCCUCUCUGCCCCUCCCCCGCUCAUGCACUCUAAAAUGGAUAAAUCUUUUUAAAUAAAUAGGUAUCGAGAACUGUACUUGACCCACUCCAGACCACCACCCUGAUCCUGUUGUAGAUUUCAAAAGACUAGAAGAAAUAGUAAGUAAAUGCAAUGCAAAAUAAAAAUAAGUAUAACAAGACACUUGGAGAACAACUGGGGAAAGUAGAAUGGGUCAUGAUCCUAGAUGCUGUUAUGGAAUAUGAUUGUUCACUUUGGGCCUGAUGCUGGCCUUGAGCCGUGGAGAGUGUUGGUUUUUCUUAGAGAGGCAAGCUGGCAGGUAUUUAGACGUGAGGUGUCAUGAGGAGGCCUGCAGCUAUUAAAUCAGGUGGUUUUUAUAAAUGAGAGCGCAAGUAAAGGUGCAAAAGGUGAAUCCA